This 73-nucleotide small nucleolar RNA is filed under the name Helicoverpa armigera (cotton bollworm). The record is from RNAcentral. Lineage: Eukaryota; Metazoa; Arthropoda; Insecta; Lepidoptera; Noctuidae.
AUAAAAUGAUGACUUAAUUCAGUUCUGCUUCUGACUAAGUAUUGAAGAAAGCUUAUACCCACAUUUCUGAGAU